CCUACGGGAGGCAGCAGUAGGGAAUCUUUCACAAUGGACGAAAGUCUGAAGGAGCAACGCCGCGUGAGUGAAGAAGGGUUUCGGAUUGUAAAGCUCUGUUGGUAGUGAAGAAAGAUACGGUAAGUAACUGGUCCUUACUUGACCGUAAUUAUGUAGAAAGUCCCGGCUAACGACGUGUGAGCAGCUGAGGUAAUACGUAGGUGCGAAGCGUGGGCGGGAUUGAAUGGGCGUAAGGGGAGUGAAGGCGGGUAAAUAAGUCUGAUGUGAAAGCCUGCGGCUCAACCGGAGAAUUGCAUCUGAAACUGUUGGACUUGAGUGUAGAAGAGGGAGGUGGAACUCCAGGUGUAGCGGUGAAAUGCGUAGAUAUAAGGAAGAACACCCGUGGCGAAGGCGGCUCGCUAGGCUGCAACUGACGCUGAGGCUCGAAAGCAUGGGUAGCAAACAGGAUUAGAUACCCGAGUAGUC
RNAcentral lists this ribosomal RNA (465 nucleotides) under uncultured bacterium. RNAcentral describes it as "partial 16S ribosomal RNA". It matches the Rfam family "Bacterial small subunit ribosomal RNA", at positions 338 to 795 of the family's 1533-position model. The record is from RNAcentral.